GAUGAACGCUAGCGAUAGGCUUAACACAUGCAAGUCGAGGGGCAGCAUGGUCUUAGCUUGCUAAGACUGAUGGCGACCGGCGCACGGGUGCGUAACGCGUAUGCAACUUGCCUCACAGAGGGGGAUAACCCGUCGAAAGACGGACUAAUACCGCGUACACUCCAUCUUGGGCAUCCAAGGUAGAGGAAAUGAAAUUCGCUGUGAGAUAGGCAUGCGUCCCAUUAGCUAGUUGGUGAGGUAACGGCUCACCAAGGCGACGAUGGGUAGGGGAACUGAGAGGUUGAACCCCCCAACUGGAACUGAGACACGGGACCAACUACUACGGGGGGAAGCAGGGGAGAAAAUUGGUCAAGGGGGGAAGACCUGAACCAGCAAAGUCGGGUGAAGGAUGACUUUCUUAUUGAUUGUAAACUUCUUUUAUACGGGAAUAACAAGAGUAACGUGUGAACCCCUGGAUGUACCGUAUGAAAAAGUAGCGGCAAACCCCGG
Molecule: ribosomal RNA, 489 nt
Filed under: uncultured bacterium
Lineage: Bacteria
Description: partial 16S ribosomal RNA
Rfam family: Bacterial small subunit ribosomal RNA
Source: RNAcentral